GGAUCAGUACACUGGUCGUGCCUUUGGUAUGUACUGGUCUCACUGAUUCCUCCUUCCUGACGAACCAUGAUGUCAUUUAUUUGGUGUUGUGGGGAAUCAGGACUGUUACUUUGAAAAAAUUAGAGUGUUUAAAGCAGGCUCACGCUUGAAUACAUUAGCAUGGAAUAAUGAAAUAGGACGUUUGAUUCUAUUUUGUUGGUUUCUAGGAUCGACGUA
This 216-nucleotide ribosomal RNA is filed under the name Campeiostachys nutans. RNAcentral's name for it is "Elymus nutans partial small subunit ribosomal RNA". The stretch from base 23 to 216 matches the Rfam family "Eukaryotic small subunit ribosomal RNA", at positions 669 to 864 of the family's 1831-position model. The record is from RNAcentral. Lineage: Eukaryota; Viridiplantae; Streptophyta; Magnoliopsida; Poales; Poaceae.